UGAAAAUGGAAUGUUCAGAAACACAUGUGC
RNAcentral lists this non-coding RNA (30 nucleotides) under Homo sapiens (human). The record is from RNAcentral. Lineage: Eukaryota; Metazoa; Chordata; Mammalia; Primates; Hominidae.